UGGGCAACCUGCCUUCAGCUCUGGGAUAACUCCAAGAAAUUGGGGCUAAUACCGGAUAUGACCGCUGACCGCAUGGUCUGGUGGUGGAAAGAUUCAUCGGCUGGGGAUGGGCCCGCGGCCUAUCAGCUUGUUGGUGGGGUAGUGGCCUACCAAGGCGACGACGGGUAGCCGGCCUGAGAGGGUGACCGGCCACACUGGGACUGAGACACGGCCCAGACUCCUACGGGAG
This 229-nucleotide ribosomal RNA is filed under the name uncultured bacterium. Its description in RNAcentral is "partial 16S ribosomal RNA". It matches the Rfam family "Bacterial small subunit ribosomal RNA", at positions 118 to 347 of the family's 1533-position model. The record is from RNAcentral.